AACAGGAUUAGAUACCCUGGUAGUCCACGCCGUAAACGAUGUCGACUUGGAGGUUGUGCCCUUGAGGCGUGGCUUCCGGAGCUAACGCGUUAAGUCGACCGCCUGGGGAGUACGGCCGCAAGGUUAAAACUCAAAUGAAUUGACGGGGGCCCGCACAAGCGGUGGAGCAUGUGGUUUAAUUCGAUGCAACGCGAAGAGCCUUACCUGGUCUUGACAUCCACGGAAGUUUUCAGAGAUGAGAAUGUGCCUUCGGGAACCGUGAGACAGGUGCUGCAUGGCUGUCGUCAGCUCGUGUUGUGAAAUGUUGGGUUAAGUCCCGCAACGAGCGCAACCCUUAUCCUUUGUUGCCAGCGGUCCGGCCGGGAACUCAAAGGAGACUGCCAGUGAUAAACUGGAGGAAGGUGGGGAUGACGUCAAGUCAUCAUGGCCCUUACGACCAGGGCUACACACGUGCUACAAUGGCGCAUACAAAGAGAAGCGACCUCGCGAGAGCAAGCGGACCUCAUAAAGUGCGUCGUAGUCCGGAUUGGAGUCUGCAGCUCGACUCCAUGAAGUCGGAAUCGCUAGUAAUCGUGGAUCAGAAUGCCACGGUGAAUACGUUCCCGGGCCUUGUACACACCGCCCGUCACACCAUGGGAGUGGGUUGCAAAAGAAGUAGGUAGCUUAACCUUCGGGAGGGCGCUUACCACUUUGUGAUUCAUGACUGGGGUGAAGUCGUAACAAGGUAACC
RNAcentral lists this ribosomal RNA (730 nucleotides) under uncultured bacterium. RNAcentral's name for it is "bacterial SSU rRNA". It matches the Rfam family "Bacterial small subunit ribosomal RNA", at positions 771 to 1501 of the family's 1533-position model. The record is from RNAcentral.